CUAUGUGGCCAAACACUUGAAGAGC
This 25-nucleotide non-coding RNA is filed under the name Cricetulus griseus (Chinese hamster). The record is from RNAcentral. Lineage: Eukaryota; Metazoa; Chordata; Mammalia; Rodentia; Cricetidae.